RNAcentral lists this non-coding RNA (28 nucleotides) under Rattus norvegicus (Norway rat). The record is from RNAcentral. Lineage: Eukaryota; Metazoa; Chordata; Mammalia; Rodentia; Muridae.
UCAGACACUCCUCCAUGCCCGGGCUGCA